UUGAUGCAAUGGCAAAACAAGAAAACUUGUU
This 31-nucleotide non-coding RNA is filed under the name Rattus norvegicus (Norway rat). Lineage: Eukaryota; Metazoa; Chordata; Mammalia; Rodentia; Muridae. The record is from RNAcentral.